This 30-nucleotide non-coding RNA is filed under the name Mus musculus (house mouse). Lineage: Eukaryota; Metazoa; Chordata; Mammalia; Rodentia; Muridae. The record is from RNAcentral.
UCCAUAUUUCUUGACUGCUUACAAAUAUUU